This 18-nucleotide microRNA is filed under the name Zea mays. Its description in RNAcentral is "microRNA miR-3229". The record is from RNAcentral. Lineage: Eukaryota; Viridiplantae; Streptophyta; Magnoliopsida; Poales; Poaceae.
UUCUCUGAUUUUGUUUGA